CCUACGGGAGGCAGCAGUGAGGAAUAUUGGUCAAUGGCCGAGAGGCUGAACCAGCCAAGUCGCGUGAGGGAAGACGGCCCUACGGGUUGUAAACCUCUUUUGUCGGGGAGCAAAGCGAACCACGUGUGGUUCAUUGAGAGUACCCGAAGAAAACGCAUCGGCUAACUCCGUGCCAGCAGCCGCGGUAAUACGGAGGAUGCGGGCGUUAUCCGGGUUGAUUGGGUGUAAAGGGUGCGCAGGCGGAGGUGCACGUCAGCGGUCAAAUUGCGGGGCUCAACCCCGUACUGCCGUUGAAACUGCAUCCCUUGAGUGCGCGAGAAGUAUGCGGAAUGCGUGGUGUAGCGGUGAAAUGCAUAGAUAGCACGCAGAACUCCGAUGGCGAAGGCAGCAUACCGGCGCGCAACUGACGCUCAUGCACGAAAGCGUGGGUAUCGAACAGGAUUAGAUACCCUUGUAGUC
RNAcentral lists this ribosomal RNA (459 nucleotides) under uncultured bacterium. RNAcentral's name for it is "partial 16S ribosomal RNA". It matches the Rfam family "Bacterial small subunit ribosomal RNA", at positions 338 to 795 of the family's 1533-position model. The record is from RNAcentral.